UACGGGGGGGGCAAGCGUUGUUCGGAAUUACUGGGCGUAAAGGGUUCGUAGGUGGCCUGCUAAGUCAGACGUGAAAUCCCUCAGCUUAACUGGGGAACUGCGUCUGAGACUGGCGGGCUUGAGUGCAGGAGAGGAACGCGGAAUUCCAGGUGUAGCGGUGAAAUGCGUAGAUAUCUGGAGGAACACCGGUGGCGAAGGCGGCGUUCUGGACUGUUACUGACACUGAGGAACGAAAGCCAGGGGAGCAAACGGG
This 253-nucleotide ribosomal RNA is filed under the name uncultured bacterium. RNAcentral describes it as "partial 16S ribosomal RNA". It matches the Rfam family "Bacterial small subunit ribosomal RNA", at positions 524 to 776 of the family's 1533-position model. The record is from RNAcentral.